CCUACGGGGGGCUGCAGUGGGGAAUAUUGGACAAUGGGCGCAAGCCUGAUCCAGCAAUGCCGCGUGAGUGAUGAAGGCCUUCGGGUUGUAAAGCUCUUUCACCCGCGACGAUGAUGACGGUAGCGGGAGAAGAAGCCCCGGCUAACUUCGUGCCAGCAGCCGCGGUAAUACGAAGGGGGCGAGCGUUGUUCGGAAUCACUGGGCGUAAAGGGCGCGUAGGCGGCCCUGUUUGUCGCGUGUGAAAGCCCCGGGCUCAACCUGGGAAUGGCGCGCGAGACGGCGGGGCUGGAGUUCGGGAGAGGAGCGUGGAAUUCCCAGUGUAGAGGUGAAAUUCGUAGAUAUUGGGAAGAACACCGGUGGCGAAGGCGGCGCUCUGGACCGAGACUGACGCUGAGGCGCGAAAGCGUGGGGAGCAAACAGGAUUAGAUACCCUUGUAGUC
RNAcentral lists this ribosomal RNA (440 nucleotides) under uncultured bacterium. RNAcentral describes it as "bacterial SSU rRNA". It matches the Rfam family "Bacterial small subunit ribosomal RNA", at positions 338 to 795 of the family's 1533-position model. The record is from RNAcentral.